Molecule: ribosomal RNA, 429 nt
Filed under: Chloroflexota bacterium
Lineage: Bacteria; Bacillati; Chloroflexota
Description: Chloroflexi bacterium partial 16S ribosomal RNA
Rfam family: Bacterial small subunit ribosomal RNA
Source: RNAcentral
UGGGGAAUAUUGCACAAUGGGCGCAAGCCUGAUGCAGCCAUGCCGCGGGUAUGAAGAAGGCCUUCGGGUUGUAAAGUACUUUCAGUCGGGAGGAAGGUGGUAAGGUUAAUAACCUUGGCAAUUGACGUUACCGACAGAAGAAGCACCGGCUAACUCCGUGCCAGCAGCCGCGGUAAUACGGAGGGUGCAAGCGUUAAUCGGAAUUACUGGGCGUAAAGCGCACGCAGGCGGUUGAUUGAGUCAGAUGUGAAAUCCCCGGGCUUAACCCGGGAAUUGCAUCUGAUACUGGUCAGCUAGAGUCUUGUAGAGGGGGGUAGAAUUCCAUGUGUAGCGGUGAAAUGCGUAGAGAUGUGGAGGAAUACCGGUGGCGAAGGCGGCCCCCUGGACAAAGACUGACGCUCAGGUGCGAAAGCGUGGGGAGCAAACAGG